AAGGUCUCAUGGAGCUCAACAGGAAAGGGAGGGACUUCGCCUCUCUAUAAGCAUGCAGCAGCAGUAGUAGCAGCAGUAGCAGCAGCCGGAAAAAUGUCCACGAGAAACUUCAUCUUGCGUUGCAAAAGGACAAUAAAUGACUGCACAAGACUUCUCCAAACAGAUGAUGCCGGUCAUGCCGUGUUACAAUCCACAGUAACGAGGUUAGAAACCAUGGAAAGGAGCCUCGAGUGGUCACGGGGCAGGCUAAUUAACGUCCCUACAGCUGAUCUUUUACUUCAGGACCUUCGGGAAUAUAUACUUGAAGUCCGGAGAUCUUGGCCUACCACACCCGCACAACAAGGUCAUUCUGGCUACCACGCCCCACUCAUUUUGUUGGGUGGUCGAGGUCCCCCACAAUUCAGCAUUUCCAGAGAGCAACUCUCUUUUUGAGGAGCUGUGGGUUUUACAGCAACAAAGAUGGCACAGAUAUUAAAAGUAUCUCUGCGCACAGUGAGACGGCGAUUGAGGCAGUUCCACAUGCUGCGCUCUGGGACAUACUCCACCAUCUCAGAUGCUACACUAGACGACCCUCAUCAAGGAGAUAGUGGCUGGUUAAUAACCGAUUGGG
Molecule: long non-coding RNA, 610 nt
Organism: Notothenia coriiceps (black rockcod)
Lineage: Eukaryota; Metazoa; Chordata; Actinopteri; Perciformes; Nototheniidae
Exons: 4
Source: RefSeq, a predicted model, not a curated record